Molecule: ribosomal RNA, 77 nt
Filed under: Salmonella enterica subsp. enterica serovar Schwarzengrund
Lineage: Bacteria; Pseudomonadati; Pseudomonadota; Gammaproteobacteria; Enterobacterales; Enterobacteriaceae
Description: partial 23S ribosomal RNA
Source: RNAcentral
CCGGGUGUGUAAGCGCAGCGAUGCGUUGAGCUAACCCGUACUAAUGGAACGUGAGGAUGAACCUUACAACGCGGAAG